UACGGAGGGUGCAAGCAUUAAUCGGAUUUAUUGGGCGUAAAGGGCGCGUAGGCGGGUUAGUAAGUCGAAUGUGAAAUACCAAAGCUCAACUUUGGGGCUGCAUUUGAAACUACUAGUCUGGAGGAUUGACGGAGAAAAUGGAAUUCCACGUGUAGCGGUGAAAUGCGUAGAUAUGUGGAAGAACACCUGUGGCGAAAGCGAUUUUCUAGUUUAUACCUGACGCUGAGGCGCGAGAGCAAGGGGAGCAAACAGG
This 253-nucleotide ribosomal RNA is filed under the name uncultured bacterium. RNAcentral's name for it is "partial 16S ribosomal RNA". It matches the Rfam family "Bacterial small subunit ribosomal RNA", at positions 524 to 776 of the family's 1533-position model. The record is from RNAcentral.